This 91-nucleotide small nucleolar RNA is filed under the name Sorghum bicolor (sorghum). RNAcentral describes it as "snoRNA snoR114". It matches the Rfam family "small nucleolar RNA snoR114". The record is from Rfam by way of RNAcentral. Lineage: Eukaryota; Viridiplantae; Streptophyta; Magnoliopsida; Poales; Poaceae.
GAGCGAUGACAGAUUUACGCGCUCACCGUGAUUGGUUUGGGUCCAUCACAACCGUCUGAUUCUACAGACGACAAGACGCGCAUCUGAGCUC